Molecule: long non-coding RNA, 729 nt
Organism: Balaenoptera ricei (Rice's whale)
Lineage: Eukaryota; Metazoa; Chordata; Mammalia; Artiodactyla; Balaenopteridae
Exons: 5
Source: RefSeq, a predicted model, not a curated record
CCGGCGCCAGGGUGCCCGGGGUACGCCAUGCUGCCCUCUGUGCCGCAGCCCUGCGCCUCCCGCCUCCCCGCCGCGGCCGCCUCGGGCCGCACCACCGGAGCCCACGGGGGACGCACUUCAGGCUCGCCGGCCCUGUCAGGCUCCACUCCCGGCCCCUCGCCCCCUCCUGCGCUCCGCCCGGUCUCUGGUGUUUUAUGUACUCAGGCCCUGACGAAUCGGAAGUCCGGCCAUCCAGGUGACAAGCAUUAUCAGCUACACGUUGCUGAGAGAUGAAAUUGGAUUUUAUAAGCUGCCUUGAAAAUUAUGACAUGUUGAGCUCCUUGCUUUAGUGGAAGCUCGGCUUACACACUACUGAGUUGAAUGGAUCUUUAUCUUGUCUGUUGGUCAUGAAAAAAGCCAUUGCAAAUCACAUUCUUCAACGGACUUAACCAGCUGAGUAGUCACCAGCCAGUGCCUUCGGCCCUAGACGGUGUAGCUUAAGAGGACCCUUUCUAUUGGCAUUGCGAUAUUGAUCAGCCUUGCUGCCUCCCAUCAGAUACACGUGGCCUUUUCUGACCCUGUCAAAUGUUACCAAAUGCCAGUUUGUGUGCCUGAGGCACAGGAAGACCAAACAACCCAAAACGUUGGAGUUUGGAGCAGAAAAAGGAUUAUUGCAGGGCCAUACAAGGAGAACAGGUGGCUUGUGCUCAAAAAACCUGGAACUCCCUGAAGGGGUUCAGCAAAGCAUUU